GUUUGAUCCUGGCUCAGGAUGAACGCUAGCGACAGGCUUAACACAUGCAAGUCGAGGGGCAGCACAGGUAGCAAUACCGGGUGGCGACCGGCGCACGGGUGAGUAACGCGUAUGCAACUUGCCUAUCAGAGGGGGAUAACCCGGCGAAAGUCGGACUAAUACCGCAUGAAGCAGGGGCCCCGCAUGGGGAUAUUUGCUAAAGAUUCAUCGCUGAUAGAUAGGCAUGCGUUCCAUUAGGCAGCUGGCGGGGUAACGGCCCACCAAACCGACGAUGGAUAGGGGUUCUGAGAGGAAGGUCCCCCACAUUGGUACUGAGACACGGACCAAACUCCUACGGGAGGCAGCAGUGAGGAAUAUUGGUCAAUGGGCGUAAGCCUGAACCAGCCAAGUCGCGUGAGGGAUGAAGGUUCUAUGGAUCGUAAACCUCUUUUAUAAGGGAAUAAAGUGCGGGACGUGUCCCGUUUUGUAUGUACCUUAUGAAUAAGGAUCGGCUAACUCCGUGCCAGCAGCCGCGGUAAUACGGAGGAUCCGAGCGUUAUCCGGAUUUAUUGGGUUUAAAGGGUGCGUAGGCGGCCUUUUAAGUCAGCGGUGAAAGUCUGUGGCUCAACCAUAGAAUUGCCGUUGAAACUGGGGGGCUUGAGUAUGUUUGAGGCAGGCGGAAUGCGUGGUGUAGCGGUGAAAUGCUUAGAUAUCACGCAGAACCCCGAUUGCGAAGGCAGCCUGCCAAGCCAUGACUGACGCUGAUGCACGAAAGCGUGGGGAUCAAACAGGAUUAGAUACCCUGGUAGUCCACGCAGUAAACGAUGAUCACUAGCUGUUUGCGAUACAGUGUAAGCGGCACAGCGAAAGCGUUAAGUGAUCCACCUGGGGAGUACGCCGGCAACGGUGAAACUCAAAGGAAUUGACGGGGGCCCGCACAAGCGGAGGAACAUGUGGUUUAAUUCGAUGAUACGCGAGGAACCUUACCCGGGUUUGAACGCAUUCGGACCGAGGUGGAAACACCUUUUCUAGCAAUAGCCGUUUGCGAGGUGCUGCAUGGUUGUCGUCAGCUCGUGCCGUGAGGUGUCGGCUUAAGUGCCAUAACGAGCGCAACCCUUGCCACUAGUUACUAACAGGUAAAGCUGAGGACUCUGGUGGGACUGCCAGCGUAAGCUGCGAGGAAGGCGGGGAUGACGUCAAAUCAGCACGGCCCUUACAUCCGGGGCGACACACGUGUUACGAUGGCGUGGACAAAGGGAUGCCACCUGGCGACAGGGAGCGAAUCCCCAAACCACGUCUCAGUUCGGAUCGGAGUCUGCAACCCGACUCCGUGAAGCUGGAUUCGCUAGUAAUCGCGCAUCAGCCUUGGCGCGGUGAAUACGUUCCCGGGCCUUGUACACACCGCCCGUCAAGCCAUGGGAGCCGGGGGUACCUGAAGUCCGUAACCGCGAGGAUCGGCCUAGGGUAAAACUGGUGACUGGGGCUAAGUCGUAACAAGGUAACC
This 1483-nucleotide ribosomal RNA is filed under the name uncultured bacterium. RNAcentral describes it as "16S ribosomal RNA". It matches the Rfam family "Bacterial small subunit ribosomal RNA". The record is from RNAcentral.